This 288-nucleotide ribosomal RNA is filed under the name uncultured bacterium. Its description in RNAcentral is "partial 16S ribosomal RNA". It matches the Rfam family "Bacterial small subunit ribosomal RNA", at positions 335 to 620 of the family's 1533-position model. The record is from RNAcentral.
UUGCCUACGGGAGGCAGCAGUGAGGAAUAUUGGUCAAUGGGAGAGAUCCUGAACCAGCCAAGCCGCGUGAGGGAAGACGGCCCUAUGGGUUGUAAACCUCUUUUGUCGGAGAACAAAACCCGGGACGUGUCCCGGACUGCGUGUAUCCGAAGAAAAAGCAUCGGCUAACUCCGUGCCAGCAGCCGCGGCAAUACGGAGGAUGCGAGCGUUAUCCGGAUUUAUUGGGUUUAAAGGGUGCGCAGGCGGAGGCACAAGUCAGCGGUAAAAUCGCGGGGCUCAACCCCGCUC